This is a long non-coding RNA of Solanum verrucosum, 338 nucleotides long. RefSeq lists it as uncharacterized. The transcript has 3 exons. The record is from RefSeq and is a predicted model, not a curated record. Lineage: Eukaryota; Viridiplantae; Streptophyta; Magnoliopsida; Solanales; Solanaceae.
AAUCAUUUGUGGAGGAUUCAAGGUUUGAUUUGGCAUAGCACAAGAGCCAUGACUAGGAAUUCAAAUAUCCCAUCGAAGGAUUGGAUGAAUUUAGCAAGGUUAUACUAGAUGGAUAAAUCAUGGGGAAUGGGAUAUCAAGUUGAAUGUUGACGAUGAUAUGGAUUACUCGCGUGAUGAUAUUGAUGGGUUGUUGAAUGAUCAAUUUAGAGAUGUUGCACCGGCUGAAGGAGUUUAUGAUAGUCCAAAUGAAGAUGCCAAGAAAUUCUAUAACUUAGUUGAUGAGGCAAGCCAAGAAUUAUAUCUUGGUUGUACAGGAUUCUCUAAAUUAUCAUUCACAC